GAUGAAGAACGCAGUGAAAUGCGAUAAUUAAUGUGAAUUGCAGAAUUCCGUGAAUCAUCGAGUCUUUGAACGCACAUUGCGCCUCAUGGCAUUCCGUGAGGCAUGCCCAUCUCAGCGUUAGAAAAUAUUCUCAAAUUUUAGUUUUGUGCUAAAAUUUGGAUCAUGUCAAAGAAGCUAUUACUAUUAUUGUGAUCGCUCUUUGGAAAUUGAUAGGUCUUUGAGUUGCUACUCAUAGAACGUGAUGAAUCUUUCUUCGUUCUAUUGUAAUUCACUCUGGUAGUCCUAAAACUUGUAUGCCUGUAGUAUAUCUUGUAAUUUGACCUGAGAUUGGGUAGGGAUACCCGCUGAACUUAAGCAUAUCAAUAAGCGGAGGA
This 374-nucleotide unclassified non-coding RNA is filed under the name soil metagenome. Its description in RNAcentral is "partial contains internal transcribed spacer 2 and large subunit ribosomal RNA". The stretch from base 1 to 120 matches the Rfam family "5.8S ribosomal RNA", at positions 35 to 154 of the family's 154-position model. The record is from RNAcentral.